Molecule: ribosomal RNA, 510 nt
Filed under: uncultured bacterium
Lineage: Bacteria
Description: partial 16S ribosomal RNA
Rfam family: Bacterial small subunit ribosomal RNA
Source: RNAcentral
GACGAACGCUGGCGGCGUGCUUAACACAUGCAAGUCGAACGAAGAGCGAUGGAAGCUUGCUUCUAUCAAUCUUAGUGGCGAACGGGUGAGUAACGCGUAAUCAACCUGCCCUUCAGAGGGGGACAACAGUUGGAAACGACUGCUAAUACCGCAUACGAUCUAAUCUCGGCAUCGAGGAUAGAUGAAAGGUGGCCUCUACAUGUAAGCUAUCACUGAAGGAGGGGAUUGUGUCUGAUUAGCUAGUUGGAGGGGUAACGGCCCAACAAGGGGAAGUUCAGAAGCCGGUCUGGAGGGAGGAACGGCCACAUUGGGAACGAGACACGGCCCAGACCCCUACGGGAGGCAGCAGGGGGGAAUCUUCCGCAAAGGACGAAAGUCUGACGGAGGCACGCCGCGGGAGGGAUGACGGCCUUCGGGUUGUAAAGCUUUGUUAAUCGGGACGAAAGGCCUUCUUGCGAAUAGUGAGAAGGAUUGACGGUACCGGAAUAGAAAGCCACGGCUAACUACGUG